CAAUUUACUAUGAAUGUACAAAUGCACAACCUUUGCGUUAGUGAUUUGAUGCUUCAACCAAUUAAGCUAAUGUAGAAGGCUUUUUGAAAUAUUCCGUUUCUUUCAGAAUUUAGAUUUGCACAUUCUUGUCUAUUAAGUUUUUCUUUUGAUUUCUUUUUCAAAAGUAAUGUCUCACUUUAUUGGGCGCAUGCCUUGCCUUGCACCUUAGGCUCUAGGAACCCCUUGCACUUUAGCUUUACUUCUCAUGGCACAAUAACCAAGGUCCAAUCCCACCCUCUCUUAUCUACAUGAUUGCCAACUGCACUAAUCUCUCUCUAGUCAAGGAAAAAAAACUAGAGAGUGCAUCAGCAUAAGGUCAUAAUGCCAUGAUCUCUGCAGUAGUGAAGUUUUAUAACAGCUGGAGCCAGAGAACAUAUGACUAAUCACGUCCUCUAUCUCUUAAAUCUCCUCCACAUCAUGGGUUGCCUUGGUUACUAAGAGAUCAUCCAUUGAAGUUCAAUUUCACUGCAUCUUAUUCUGGUGGAAACCAACUCUGAUGUACCCAUCUGCUGAGGAUCUAGAAGCAUGAUAUGAAACCCUGAUAAUGUUAUCCAUCAUGUUGUCCUUAAACUCCUCCCUAUUGCACAUCGCGAUGCACCAGACUUUGAUGAGGUCUAUCCGCUUUUCAUGCUGACAUUCUUUUGUUGAGAAAGACCAUCUCAUUCCUUUCCUCCUGAACUGUCCAUGGUACAACAGCUCUUAGACAUUGCAGAGAGGCUCAGUGACUUUGUAUUAUAUCAUUGAAUCAGGAGAAAAAGCUGGCUAAAUCCCCUCUUCUGCAUGCCUUGUUUCUUAAGAAAAGUUACAGCCUCUCUUUGAUUGCAUUGUGCUCUGCUCGAGUCAACAGUUUAGUACAGCGGGCAUUUAUCCUGGCACGGUGAGUGUGCACUGCAGUAGAUUAGACCUUUCAAUUGGAUAUCUUGAAUUAUUGUCUCUCAUCGAGUUGACGCCAGAACAGAACUUAGGUAUAAAUCCAAUAAUAUGUUUGAAGGACAAAUGCUUCUGCAGUGUGAUGAUCAUUAUGACACCUAGUGAUAAAAUCUGUCUGGUUUCAUGACUUAUGACAGCCUUGUUGCAUUUGUGUCAAGGUGAUAAAAAAAAUGCUCUUUCCCUUUC
Nelumbo nucifera (sacred lotus) is the source of this 1155-nucleotide non-coding RNA. Lineage: Eukaryota; Viridiplantae; Streptophyta; Magnoliopsida; Proteales; Nelumbonaceae. The record is from RefSeq and is a predicted model, not a curated record.